This 855-nucleotide ribosomal RNA is filed under the name uncultured bacterium. RNAcentral's name for it is "bacterial SSU rRNA". It matches the Rfam family "Bacterial small subunit ribosomal RNA", at positions 53 to 884 of the family's 1533-position model. The record is from RNAcentral.
ACAUGCAAGUCGAGCGGUAGCGGGCCUGACCACUCUCGAGUGGUUCUGGCGCCGACGAGCGGCGGACGGGUGCGUAACACGUAGGAAUCUGCCCGGUAGUGGGGGAUAGCCCGGAGAAAUUCGGAUUAAUACCGCAUACGCCCUAUGGGGGAAAGCAGGGGAUCGGUUCGCCGACCUUGCGCUAUCGGAUGAGCCUGCGUCGGAUUAGCUUGUUGGUGGGGUAAAGGCCUACCAAGGCGACGAUCCGUAGCUGGUCUGAGAGGAUGAUCAGCCACACUGGGACUGAGACACGGCCCAGACUCCUACGGGAGGCAGCAGUGGGGAAUAUUGCACAAUGGGCGAAAGCCUGAUGCAGCCAUGCCGCGUGUGUGAAGAAGGCCCUAGGGUUGUAAAGCACUUUCAGUGGGGAGGAAAGGUCGAAGGUUAAUACCCUUUGGCUGUGACGUUACCCACAGAAGAAGCACCGGCUAACUCCGUGCCAGCAGCCGCGGUAAUACGGAGGGUGCGAGCGUUAAUCGGAAUUACUGGGCGUAAAGCGUGCGUAGGCGGCCAUUUAAGUUGGAUGUGAAAGCCCCGGGCUCAACCUGGGAACUGCAUCCAAAACUGGGUGGCUUGAGUGCGAGAGAGGAGUGUGGAAUUUCCUGUGUAGCGGUGAAAUGCGUAGAUAUAGGAAGGAACACCAGUGGCGAAGGCGACACUCUGGCUUGACACUGACGCUGAGGUACGAAAGCGUGGGGAGCAAACAGGAUUAGAUACCCUGGUAGUCCACGCCGUAAACGAUGUCUACUAGUUGUCGGUGGUCUUGUACUGCUGGUAACGCAGCUAACGCGAUAAGUAGACCGCCUGGGGAGUACG